RNAcentral lists this ribosomal RNA (372 nucleotides) under Gammaproteobacteria bacterium. RNAcentral describes it as "bacterial SSU rRNA". It matches the Rfam family "Bacterial small subunit ribosomal RNA", at positions 1 to 369 of the family's 1533-position model. Lineage: Bacteria; Pseudomonadati; Pseudomonadota; Gammaproteobacteria. The record is from RNAcentral.
UUAAACUGAAGAGUUUGAUCAUGGCUCAGAUUGAACGCUGGCGGCAGGCCUAACACAUGCAAGUCGAGCGGAAACGAUGGGAGCUUGCUUUCAGGCGUCGAGCGGCGGACGGGUGCGUAACGCGUAGGAAUCUGCCCAGUAGCGGGGGAUAGCCCGGAGAAAUUCGGAUUAAUACCGCAUAAGCCCUACGGGGGAAAGCAGGGGAUCUUCGGACCUUGCGCUAUUGGAUGAGCCUGCGUCGGAUUAGCUUGUAGGUGGGGUAAUGGCCUACCUAGGCAACGAUCCGUAGCUGGUCUGAGAGGAUGAUCAGCCACACUGGGACUGAGACACGGCCCAGACUCCUACGGGAGGCAGCAGUGGGGAAUAUUGGAC